Molecule: long non-coding RNA, 1876 nt
Filed under: Setaria viridis
Lineage: Eukaryota; Viridiplantae; Streptophyta; Magnoliopsida; Poales; Poaceae
Description: long non-coding RNA (SVIR_LNC006490)
Source: RNAcentral
GCCAGACUAAAAUGUUUGAUCUUUUGUCGGGAAAGGUGAAACCACUUCUCUCUAUGAGCCAUGAAAUUAAAUGCUAUUAAGAGCCUAUUUAAUCACAUGAUGAAAUAUUGCUUAUUGCUUAUGUGGUUAUCUUGGAAACAUCAAUAUGAAAUCAUGCAUUGUAAAAAGAGUUUCAUCCAUGGUUUCAUUUUUAUUUUGUUGAGGUGGCACUCUUGGAAGCAACAAAAUGAAAUCAUGCAUUGAGAUUGGCAAAGUGACACAUUCACCAAUAGGUUGAAACAUAUAAAUACAUUCACACUUUUAGAACCAACCUCAUCGUACACUUUCAUGGAAACCAAUAGGCAACAUAACUAAAGUUACACUUUUAGAAUACAUCAUCAGUACAAUGUUCAGAAAUAUAAGGCAACAUAACCAAAGUGAUACUUGCAGAAUAAAUCAUCGGUACAACAUUUAGAAAUACAAGGAAACAUAACCAAAGUGAUACUUUUAGAAUACAUCAUCGUACAAUGUUCAAAAACAUAAGGCAAUCCUAUAGUACUUUCACCAAAGUACCAUUAGUGUAACACCCUAUUUGAAUUUUGCUAGGAUUUUAAAAUUUUAAUAAAUUAUUAGAAUUAAUUAGAGAGUGUGUACAAUUAUUUGCAAAUAAAAUUUAUUUUCUAAAAAACAAAUUAAAUAAAUGUAAGUUAUAAAACAUGUUGGUUGCAUUCAUGCUGAAUUGCAGAGCUUUUAUUGUGUGAAAAAUGAGUUUGAGUUUUCAAAUUCGAAUAGGCUCAUCUACCGUUCAAACCAUUUUUGAAAAUAUCAAACCUCUCUAACCUCUUUUAGGCCCAAACCCUUCUCUAACCCGGCCCAUCUCUCUGUCUACCCAAAAACCCUCUCACUAUUUUUUUUACUGCUGUCUAAAACCAGCCUAAACCUCCUCUAUCUAGGCCUCCUUUCUAGCCUCCACGUUGUGCCCACCUGGGCCAAGAGCCUCGCCAGCCCAAACUCCAUCCUCUCCCUCACAAGGCCUCCUUCAGGUCUAACCCGCAACCCCACCUGAACCAAAACCUGCUCAGCCUGCUACACCGUCCCGGCUCAACUCUUCCCCACCUCUUCUUCCCUAGGCGAAGCCCAGCUUCCCCAAGGCCAGCCCAACCUGCCACCAACACUUCCCCCACCCGUCGGUCUUACUCCCCUCCCUUUCUUCUUCCUCCCUCUUCCCUGCUUCACCGCCGUGACUCAAAUCCCGCAUGCCCCGCUCCCAAUCUUCGCCGCCUAGACCCACUCCCCACCUUCUUCGCCCUCCACCCUUGCCUACAAGCCGGUCUAGGUGUUCGCACGCAGCGGCUGUGGCAAGGAUCCACCCAGCCCAUGCCAAUCACGGUCGCGAUGGCCGUGCCCCCAAAUCCUAUCCAUACCCUGCCUCUUCGUGGCCUAAAAAUGGCCUGCCUCACGCCAUCAUGCCCCCUUUACCCAGCAUGCCAAACCACCGUUGUCACCUUGCCCCUGCUCGUGGAGUUUUGCCACCGCCGCUGCCCCGGGUGAGAACCAGCAGCCGUCUACUUCUAUCCCCUACACCGGCGUGCCCCCGCUCCAAUCGUCACUAGAAUUGGGACCAUGAGGCCACCAACAGCACGCUGGCGCCCUCAGCCUUACCUUUGGACCAACGAAGUGCCACCAUGAGCCGCUGCUGCAUCCACCGGGUAAGGCUCGACCGCCGCUAUCAAUCUCCAUGGUUGAGAUGCCUUUCACCCCGCUCUCAUCUCCGUUCCCCACGCAGAAGCACCAGCAAACAAACCCGACCCCUGGAGACGUGAACUUGAGCUGGAUCUUUGUCUCCCAUGCACACCCGAGCUGCCCGUCCUCCUUUCGCCACCACACUUCCUUAACC